GGAUGUAGCACAGUGGUAGAGCACUUGUCUAGCAUGCCUGAGAACCUAGGUUCAAACCCUAGUACUUCCA
This 70-nucleotide transfer RNA is filed under the name Mesocricetus auratus (golden hamster). It matches the Rfam family "tRNA". Rfam says of the family: Transfer RNA (tRNA) molecules are approximately 80 nucleotides in length. Their secondary structure includes four short double-helical elements and three loops (D, anti-codon, and T loops). Lineage: Eukaryota; Metazoa; Chordata; Mammalia; Rodentia; Cricetidae. The record is from Rfam by way of RNAcentral.